RNAcentral lists this ribosomal RNA (253 nucleotides) under uncultured bacterium. RNAcentral describes it as "partial 16S ribosomal RNA". It matches the Rfam family "Bacterial small subunit ribosomal RNA", at positions 524 to 776 of the family's 1533-position model. The record is from RNAcentral.
UACGAAGGGUGCAAGCGUUACUCGGAAUUACUGGGCGUAAAGCGUGCGUAGGCGGUUUGUUAAGUCCGUUGUGAAAGCCCCGGGCUUAACCCGGGAAUGGCAUUGAAUACUGCUGAUCUGGAGGAUCGGAGGGGGGACUGGAAUUCUUGGUGUAGCAGUGAAAUGCGUAGAUAUCAAGAGGAACACCAGUGGCGAAGGCGAGUCCCUGGACGAUACCUGACACUGAGGCACGAAAGCCAAGGGAGCAAACAGG